CCUACGGGUGGCAGCAGUAGGGAAUAUUGCUCAAUGGGGGAAACCCUGAAGCAGCAACGCCGCGUGGAGGAUGAAGGUUUUCGGAUUGUAAACUCCUUUUGUUAGAGAAGAUAAUGACGGUAUCUAACGAAUAAGCACCGGCUAACUCCGUGCCAGCAGCCGCGGUAAUACGGAGGGUGCAAGCGUUACGCAGAAUCACUGGGCGUAAAGAGCGCGUAGGCGGGUGAGCCAGUCAGAUGUGAAAUCCUAUGGCUUAACCAUAGAACUGCAUUUGAAACUGUUAUUCUAGAGUGUAGGAGAGGAGAGGGGAAUUCUAGGUGUAGGGGUAAAAUGCGUAGAGAUCUGGAGGAAUACUCGUUGCGAAGGCGACCCUCUGGAACAUAACUGACGCUGAUGCUCGAAAGCGUGGGGAGCAAACAGGAUUAGAUACCCGUGUAGUC
This 440-nucleotide ribosomal RNA is filed under the name uncultured bacterium. RNAcentral describes it as "partial 16S ribosomal RNA". It matches the Rfam family "Bacterial small subunit ribosomal RNA", at positions 338 to 795 of the family's 1533-position model. The record is from RNAcentral.